AUGAGGUUGCAUCGCACGUCAGACCAUGGUUGGUUCAUCCAUGAUGUGAAGCAUGAGCAUAAUCACAGUAUGGCACAAACAUGUGGAGAGAAGUUGCACUGGCCAUCUCACAGGCACAUUGAUGCCCAUGCCAAAGACAUUGUCAUGCACCUUAGGAACAACAAUAUAUCAUUAAGCAAGACUUUCGGUGUGAUUGCAAGCUUUCUUAGGGAUAUGGAAAACUUGCCCUUUAACAAGAGAUCUCUGUGUUAUCUCUGCAAGAGGAUGAAUCAGCAGCAGGGCGAUGAUGACAUCAGAAAGACGAUACAACUCUUCUCUGAAUUGAAAGAGAAGGAUCCAAAGUUUGUCGACAGUGUGCUUGUUGAUGAAGGCAGCAAGAUCAGGGCAUUGAUGUGGACAGACGGUAAGAGCCGACACCAGUACAAAAUCUUUGGAGAUGCAAUAACAUUCGACACAACAUAUCGUACAAACCAGUACGACAUGCCGUUUGGUCUUUUUGUUGGUGUCAACAAUCACUUUCAGAGCAUCAUCCUUGGAGGAGUGUUGCUACGCGAUGAAACAACUGAGACUUUUGAGUGGGUGUUCAAGGAAUUUGCAUCUUUGAUGGGAGGGAAGGAUCCAAAAACAAUACUCACGGACCAAGCCCGUGCAAUGGAGAGGGCUAUAUAUUCCCAGUGGCCUGAUACAACUCACAGGUGGUGCAAAUGGCAUGUAUUGCAAAAAGCAAGGGAACAUCUAGGUUCUGUUUAUUCAAAAAACAGUGAUUUCAGAGACGAGUUUCACAAACUUCUCGAGUAUAUGGUCACAGUAGAUGAGUUUGAAACCGCAUGGGCCAGCUUGAUUGAGAAAUAUCAACUUGCAGACCACCCAUGGCUCACUCAAAUAUAUGAAGUUAGAACAAAAUGGGCAAAGCCAUAUUUUGCAGGUGUGUUCUGCGCAAGGAUGACGAGCACACAGCGUUCCGACAGUGCAAACCAUAUGCUCAAGAAUUAUGUGCAGUCGGCAUUGUCCAUGAACAAUUUUGUAAGGCAGUAUCAAAAAUUAUUGUUUGAUAGACAAUCAGAGGAAGAUUUUCAAGCGAAGAAGACUCGUGUGGGUGGCGUUGUCUUCAACCUGGGAGUGCCUCUAGAAUACCAUGCAAGCAAGGUCUACACUGCAGCUAUGUAUGAGCUGUUCCAACACGCAAUUUACUUGUCAGGGUCAUUUGUGUUACAAGAGGCCUGGCAGACAGAACAAGGCGUGGUCUACGUUGUUAACCACAUCUAUGCAGAGAGGAGGCAAGCAUGGUCCAGGACACAAUAUCAUGUUCUGUUUCAUGAGGGGUCCGGAGGAUAUUUAUGUGAGUGUGGUCUUUACUCACAUAUGGGCAUGAUGUGCUGUCAUGCUAUUCGGGUGCUGCUACAUCUCGGAGUUAGGGACAUCCCAGAAGUACACAUCAUGAAGAGAUGGACGAAGAACGCCUGCGAGAACCUGCCAGUGCAUCUGAUGAUAUAUAAAGCAUGCAAUUCUGCACUGAAGGACGCAACUUAUCGGCACUCUUCCUUGUACAGUAAGGCGCUCGAGAUUGUCCAAAUGGGGGACAAGAACACUGAAGCUUAUGGAGCUGCAAUGAAGCAGUUGCUGGACGCAAUAAGUGUUCUAAAUGAUAUCAACCAGGAGAGCGAUGGACGAGGGUUAAAUGAUCAAGCCACUGCUCAAGCACAUGACCAAGAUGUCCCUGUGACACCAGGAGCAAAUGGUCUGUCAGGUUCAAUGAAUGUUGUAUCACGCAAGAGGGAUCUAGGCAGGCCAACAAACGCAAGAGCAAAGCCAGGUUAUGAAAAUGUUAGCAAGCCAAGAACAAAGUUUUGCUCAAUCUGUAGAGGGAGGGGUCACAAAGCAUCGGGAUGCCCCUCAUUUGGAGGGGUAGCAAAGAAAAAAAGGAAAGUUCCAAAGUGUACAAAGUGCGGCCUGGAAGGCCACAAGAGGAAUAACUGCUCAGGAAGAAUGUUCGGCGUCUUCCAAUGA
This 2007-nucleotide ribosomal RNA is filed under the name Triticum aestivum (bread wheat). Its description in RNAcentral is "partial small subunit ribosomal RNA". Lineage: Eukaryota; Viridiplantae; Streptophyta; Magnoliopsida; Poales; Poaceae. The record is from RNAcentral.